AACCAUAGAAACCUGCGGAGUACCUGCGGCGGGAUCAUUACAGAGUUGCAAAACUCCCACAAACCAUCGCGAAUCUUACCCGUACGGUUGCCUCGGCGCUGGCGGUCCGGAAGGCCCUCGGGCCCCCGGACCCUCGGGUCCCCCGCUCGCGGGGGGCUGCCCGCCGGAGUGCCGAAACCAAACUCUUGAUAUUUUAUGUCUCUCUGAGUAAACUUUUAAAUAAGUCAAAACUUUUAACAA
Molecule: unclassified non-coding RNA, 240 nt
Filed under: soil metagenome
Description: partial contains 5.8S ribosomal RNA, internal transcribed spacer 2, and large subunit ribosomal RNA
Source: RNAcentral